UACAGCCAUAUCACAUUGAAACACCAGUUCCGGUACGAUCACUGAAGUUAAUCAACAUUGAAUCUGGUCAGUACCAAAAUAAGUGACCACUUGGGAAUACCAGGUACUGUAAG
Non-coding RNA from Acanthosepion pharaonis, 113 nucleotides. The record is from the annotation of a GenBank genome assembly. NCBI's taxonomy places the organism in Eukaryota, Metazoa, Mollusca, Cephalopoda, Sepiida, Sepiidae.